GUCCACGCCGUAAACGAUGUCGAUUUGGAGGCUGUGUCCUUGAGACGUGGCUUCCGGAGCUAACGCGUUAAAUCGACCGCCUGGGGAGUACGGCCGCAAGGUUAAAACUCAAAUGAAUUGACGGGGCCGCACAAGCGGUGGAGCAUGUGGUUUAAUUCGAUGCAACGCGAAGAACCUUACCUGGCCUUGACAUGUCUGGAAUCCCUAAGAGAUUGGGGAGUGCCUUCGGGAAUCAGAACACAGGUGCUGCAUGGCUGUCGU
Molecule: ribosomal RNA, 261 nt
Filed under: uncultured bacterium
Lineage: Bacteria
Description: partial 16S ribosomal RNA
Rfam family: Bacterial small subunit ribosomal RNA
Source: RNAcentral